ACACAGGGAAGGAGGUGGUCCGCGAAAUUGAUUGCGUUAUGGACAUGUGAGGUGGCUGCGCGCUAAGCAGCGCCAGGCUGGAAAGACCCGGCAUUAUCUGCUGGCGAAUUCCCCGCAGCCACCCGGCCCCCGAGCCCCCGGUCUGUCCAACCCGGAACUACGGCUCGGGGGCUGCCCAUU
RNAcentral lists this small RNA (180 nucleotides) under Mycobacterium fragae. RNAcentral's name for it is "Actinobacteria sRNA Ms_IGR-5". It matches the Rfam family "Actinobacteria sRNA Ms_IGR-5". Lineage: Bacteria; Bacillati; Actinomycetota; Actinomycetes; Mycobacteriales; Mycobacteriaceae. The record is from Rfam by way of RNAcentral.